AAAAUGGUUCCCUUUAGAGUGU
Molecule: microRNA, 22 nt
Filed under: Macaca mulatta (Rhesus monkey)
Lineage: Eukaryota; Metazoa; Chordata; Mammalia; Primates; Cercopithecidae
Also listed under: 6 other names
Description: mml-miR-518e
Gene: mml-miR-518e
Source: miRBase by way of RNAcentral